This 309-nucleotide ribosomal RNA is filed under the name uncultured Hyphomicrobiaceae bacterium. RNAcentral describes it as "bacterial SSU rRNA". It matches the Rfam family "Bacterial small subunit ribosomal RNA", at positions 21 to 358 of the family's 1533-position model. Lineage: Bacteria; Pseudomonadati; Pseudomonadota; Alphaproteobacteria; Hyphomicrobiales; Hyphomicrobiaceae. The record is from RNAcentral.
GGCUCAGAACGAACGCUGGCGGCAGGCCUAACACAUGCAAGUCGAACGCUCCAGCAAUGGAGAGUGGCAGACGGGUGAGUAACGCGUGGGAACCUACCCUUUGGUUCGGAAUAGCCCAGGGAAACUUGGGGUAAUACCGGAUAAGCCCUUCGGGGGAAAGAUUUAUCGCCAAUGGAUGGGCCCGCGUCGGAUUAGCUAGUUGGUGGGGUAACGGCCUACCAAGGCGACGAUCCGUAGCUGGUCUGAGAGGAUGAUCAGCCACACUGGGACUGGGACACGGCCCAGACUCCUACGGGAGGCAGCAGUGGG